CUACGGGCUGCACCAGUGAGGAAUAUUGCACAAUGGGGGGAACCCUGAUGCGGCAACGCCGCGUGGAGGAUGACGCAUUUCGGUGUGUAAACUCCUUUUAUAUGUCAAGAAAAUGACGGUAGCAUAUGAAUAAGCACCGGCUAACUCCGUGCCAGCAGCCGCGGUAAUACGGAAGGUGCAAGCGUUACUCGGAAUCACUGGGCGUAAAGGACGCGUAGGCGGGUUGGAAAGUCAGGUGUGAAAUCCUACAGCUUAACUGUAGAACUGCACUUGAAACUUCUAAUCUAGAGUAUGGGAGGGGGAGAUGGAAUUAGUGGUGUAGGGGUAAAAUCCGUAGAUAUCACUAGGAAUACCUAAAGCGAAGGCGAUCUCCUGGAACAUUACUGACGCUAAGGCGUGAAAGCGUGGGGAGCAAACAGGAUUAGAUACCCUCGUAGUC
This 439-nucleotide ribosomal RNA is filed under the name uncultured bacterium. RNAcentral describes it as "partial 16S ribosomal RNA". It matches the Rfam family "Bacterial small subunit ribosomal RNA", at positions 339 to 795 of the family's 1533-position model. The record is from RNAcentral.